Molecule: small nuclear RNA, 191 nt
Filed under: Salmo salar (Atlantic salmon)
Lineage: Eukaryota; Metazoa; Chordata; Actinopteri; Salmoniformes; Salmonidae
Description: U2 spliceosomal RNA (ENSSSAG00000102303.1)
Rfam family: U2 spliceosomal RNA
About the family: U2 is a small nuclear RNA (snRNA) component of the spliceosome (involved in pre-mRNA splicing). Complementary binding between U2 snRNA (in an area lying towards the 5' end but 3' to hairpin I) and the branchpoint sequence (BPS) of the intron results the bulging out of an unpaired adenosine, on the BPS, which initiates a nucleophilic attack at the intronic 5' splice site, thus starting the first of two transesterification reactions that mediate splicing.
Source: RNAcentral
UUAUCGCUCUCGGCCUUUUGGCUCAGAUCAAGUGUAGUAUCUGUUCUUAUCAGUUUAAUAUCUGAUACGUCCCCAUCGGGGGACUACAUAUUAAAUGGAUUUUUCGAACAGGGAGUCGGAAAUGGGGCUUGCUCCGUCCGCUCCACGCAUCGACCCGGUAUUGCAGUACCUCCGGGAACGGUGCAACACUU